GAAAAGAUAUAUGUACGUACUGCAGGAAGCCCUUGGGCAUAGAUGCCAAAAUGAUCUUAGAUGCCCUGCAAAUUUGCUGUCAUUCAACUUGCUUCAAGUGUGAAGUAUGUAAAAGACCACUGGAAGAUCUGAAAGCAGGAGACAGCAUUUGGAUUUACAGACAAACCGUGCAUUGUGAGCCUUGCUAUUCCAAAGUCAAAG
This is a long non-coding RNA of Gymnogyps californianus (California condor), 201 nucleotides long. RefSeq lists it as uncharacterized. Lineage: Eukaryota; Metazoa; Chordata; Aves; Accipitriformes; Cathartidae. The record is from RefSeq and is a predicted model, not a curated record. The transcript is spliced from 2 exons.